RNAcentral lists this ribosomal RNA (492 nucleotides) under uncultured bacterium. RNAcentral's name for it is "partial 16S ribosomal RNA". It matches the Rfam family "Bacterial small subunit ribosomal RNA", at positions 29 to 507 of the family's 1533-position model. The record is from RNAcentral.
AGUGAACGCUGGCGGUAGGCCUAACACAUGCAAGUCGAACGGCAGCACAGUAAGAGCUUGCUCUUACGGGUGGCGAGUGGCGGACGGGUGAGGAAUACAUCGGAAUCUACUUUUUCGUGGGGGAUAACGUAGGGAAACUUACGCUAAUACCGCAUACGACCUACGGGUGAAAGCAGGGGAUCUUCGGACCUUGCGCGAUUGAAUGAGCCGAUGUCGGAUUAGCUAGUUGGCGGGGUAAAGGCCCACCAAGGCGACGAUCCGUAGCUGGUCUGGGAGGAUGAUCGGCCACACUGGAACUGAGACACGGUCCAGACUCCUACGGGAGGCAGCAGUGGGGAAUAUUGGACAAUGGGCGCAAGCCUGAUCCAGCCAUACCGCGUGGGUGAAGAAGGCCUUCGGGUUGUAAAGCCCUUUUGUUGGGAAAGAAAAGCAGCAGGUUAAUACCCCGCUGUUCUGACGGUACCCAAAGAAUAAGCACCGGCUAACUUCGUG